UACGUAGGGUGCAAGCGUUAAUCGGAAUUACUGGGCGUAAAGGGCGUGUAGGCGGUUAGUUAAGUCUGGCGUGAAAGCUCUCGGCUAAACCGGGAGAGGUCGUUGGAUACUGGCUGACUAGAGGACGGUAGAGGCGUGUGGAAUUCCGGGUGUAGUGGUGAAAUGCGUAGAGAUCCGGAGGAACACCAGUGGCGAAGGCGACACGCUGGGCCGUACCUGACGCUAAAGCGCGACAGCAUGGGGAGCAAACGGG
This 253-nucleotide ribosomal RNA is filed under the name uncultured bacterium. Its description in RNAcentral is "partial 16S ribosomal RNA". It matches the Rfam family "Bacterial small subunit ribosomal RNA", at positions 524 to 776 of the family's 1533-position model. The record is from RNAcentral.